UUGAGCUUCUAAUCGGCACAGCUAGCAGAGGCUGAAAAACUGUACGUACCCUGUCCAGUGCAUGGCAGAGAUGGUAGAGAUCAUUGGUUUCUACUGCGCGCCGCCAUCUUCCUCCUAACCACGCAAGUACCAUUGAAUUUUAUACUAACUGGACGCGCAUCGGGCGAAUGGUGUGGGACAAAUUGAAGGCAGCCAUUUAAACUUCGACUCUUACAGGCCCAAUCAGAUUUGGUUUAUUUGAUCGCAGUCAGCUGCAGUCAGCGUUGUAUACAUAACGAUAAGUGAUUUAAGUGAUUGUUAACGUGAUUCAUAAAAUUGAAAAAUGAGGUGUUGUGAACCCGAGCGUAGGCAAAAAAGUGAAACUGAAAUCUCAUUUCAUAAAUUUCCGAAUGCAGACUAUGAUCGAGCAAAGGCAUGGUUUGAAGCGAUUUCAACAUUUUUAGUUUAAUUUAGAACAACCUAAAAUCGUUGGAGCGCCAAGCGCCAUCUUUCUCGACUAGGAAGAAUUCCCAGGACUACGUGUCAUCGCAAGGGAAAACACCUCUGCAAGACGCGAAAAAAAAUCACUUCUUCUCUAAAGUUCGAACCGAGCAGUCGAAACUUCCUAUACAGAGUAUUCUGUCCGAACGGUUAGGUCCAGUUCCUGUACCAAAGCAAGGAAAACGAACCUGCCGAUGUCUGAGUACAUCGCGGACUUUGGACCGGUGGUUCAACAAUUCAGACCCGAGUGGAUAACCGUGACUACAACGCAACCAAACAAGAUCGAACAAGUGAUUUUUUGGAUGCAGUGAAAAUAGAAAUAAAAAUGGAAAUGGAAAUGAAAAUGGGCCUCUGCUCCGUUCUGUUUCUACGUAUCGAAUGUCUCCACUUUUCACUGCUCCAGUUAGUCUCAAUUGUUAGAAACACGUAAGCUUGCACACUAAAUCUAAUUAAGUAUAUCAAUGGCUGCAGAACAUUCCUUAGAUUUGUGAAAUU
RNAcentral lists this long non-coding RNA (975 nucleotides) under Neodiprion lecontei (redheaded pine sawfly). RNAcentral's name for it is "uncharacterized LOC124292929, transcript variant X2". The record is from RNAcentral. Lineage: Eukaryota; Metazoa; Arthropoda; Insecta; Hymenoptera; Diprionidae.